RNAcentral lists this ribosomal RNA (408 nucleotides) under uncultured bacterium. RNAcentral's name for it is "bacterial SSU rRNA". It matches the Rfam family "Bacterial small subunit ribosomal RNA", at positions 509 to 916 of the family's 1533-position model. The record is from RNAcentral.
CAGCCGCCGCGGUAAUACGUAGGGUGCGAGCGUUAAUCGGAAUUACUGGGCGUAAAGCGUGCGCAGGCGGUUUUGUAAGCCAGACGUGAAAUCCCCGGGCUUAACCUGGGAAUGGCGUUUGGGACUGCAAGGCUUGAGUAUGGCAGAGGGGACUAGAAUUCCUGGUGUAGCAGUGAAAUGCGUAGAUAUCAGGAGGAAUACCGAUGGCGAAGGCAGGUCCCUGGGUUAAUACUGACGCUCAUGCACGAAAGCGUGGGGAGCAAACAGGAUUAGAUACCCUGGUAGUCCACGCCCUAAACUAUGUCAACUGGUUGUUGGGGGUUUGACACUCUCAGUAACGAAGCUAACGCGUGAAGUUGACCGCCUGGGGAGUACGGCCGCAAGGUUAAAACUCAAAGGAAUUGACGG